GGGUAUUGUGAUGAGAGGUUGGAGAUGAUUCUGGUCUAUGAAUACAUGGAAAAAGGAACCCUAAGGGACCAUUUGUAUAACACAAAGUUUCCAACCUUGUCCUGGAAGGCGAGGCUUCAAAUUUGCAUUGAUUCUGCCAGGGGUCUUCAUUACCUUCACAAAGGAGCAGCUGGGGGAAUCAUUCACCGUGAUGUGAAGUCCACAAACAUAUUGCUUGAUGAGAACCAUGUCGCUAAAGUUGCUGAUUUUGGUCUUUCAAGGUCAGGUCCUCUUGGUACUGAAUCGUAUGUCACCACUGGUGUUAAAGGCACUUUUGGGUAUCUUGAUCUUGAGUAUUUCAGGUCGCAACAGCUGACAGAAAAAUCUGAUGUCUACUCAUUUGGGGUAGUUCUUUUGGAAGUUUUAUGUGCAAGAGCGGCGAUUGACCCAUCUCUUCCAAGAGAUCAGAUAAACUUGGCGGAAUGGGGAUUGCUUUGCAAAAACAAGGGGACACUCCAAGAGAUCAUCGAUCCUUCCAUCAAGGAUCAAAUUGAUCAAAACUCACUCAGAAAAUUUAGUGAGACGAUAGAAAAAUGCUUGCAAGAAGAUGGUUCUGAUAGGCCAACCAUGGGUGAUGUGUUGUGGGACUUGGAGUAUGCGGUGCAGCUUCAGAGAGGUGCAAAUGCAAUACAGAGAGAGCCGUAUGAGGAUAGUUCUAGCAGUGUUUCUGCAUCAUUUCAACUGCCCAAUGUUCGGCGUCUUCCUUCACUCUCCACACUGAGUGAAGCCGAUGAUACCAUUGUGAGGAAUGAUGAAUCCGAUAGUGCUGUGGAUUACGUUUUCUCCCAGUUGAAGAUUGAUGAUGCCAGAUAGAUUAUCGAGCACUUCAAGGCAGUCGUCUUUUUGUUUCUGUAGUUUUUGUUGUCAGACUAUCACAUUGUUCUGUCCUUAAUUUCACCAUCCUCGUCUGGUUUCCUUAAUUAGUUUGAGUGAAAUAUGUAUUCAAAUAUUUUCUUUGCAGUAACCUACAAACCUUCGAAUCCACAAAUACCAUUAUUUUGAAUGUUUUAUGUUCUCGAAAGUUUAGAGAAGGAAACUCGUGUGUUGGUAUUAAGUUAGGAACAAUUGGACUCAUUAGACCUAUGGUUAGUUCAUUGUAUUUUCUUUAUAAUUUCUAUUUAAAAAAUUAUUGUAUUUUUAAUUGGUGUGGAACAGAUAUAAAUAAAACCUAAUAGUUAUCGUGGAUGUAAGUGGAAGUUGAAGACCGAAUCACGUUAAAUAUUGUGUUGUUUAUUUUUUACAAUCGUGAUUAUGUGGGUUCUUGCGUGUCUUUUUCUCAUCACAUGUUUCACGGCUAGGGCAGAACUAAUUAAAAAAUCCAUUAAACUCAUUAUAUACCAUCAUCACAUAUUCAAAUUAAAAAUCAUUUUAUAAUAAUAAUUUUUUAACUGAAGAAAAUUGUUGUGAUACUUUUUCUCUGACCACAAUUUCUUGGAAUUAUAAUAGAAGAAAAAUCAUUUGGAAUUUAGACUUCUGUUGUAUUCCAUUCCAAGAAAACCAGGACAAAACAUGUGAAGAUUUUGAUUCCUCUGGAAAGAUAUUUGUACUCUAUUGCUAGCCUUCUUAAUUUCUAUCUUCUUUUUUUCACGGGUCUAAUAGUUCCGGUAGUUGAUAAAUCCACUUCAAUUCAAAAUUAAAGAGAAGGGGGAAAGAGCACUAAUACAAAUAACGUAUUUUAUAAUUAUAUAUUAGAUUGUUUUAUUGAAAAUUGCUAAUACAAAUAACGUAUUAUACACUGCUAAUACAAAUAACGUGUUAUACACUGCUAGAUUGCCUCCAGUGCUGAUGUCGCCGCUAGAUAGCUACCUCCACUACACUACUUGUUAUUUAUAUAGAAAAUUAUUUUUAUUAUAAUGUAUUGGAAUGAAAUGUAUUAUGUUUUAAAUUUUUUAAUUAUUAUAUGUUGAAUGUUUUGGUAUUGAAUUUGGGGUGAUCAACCUCGACAAUGUCUACUAUGUUUUAUAAUGUAUUAUGUUUGGAUAUAAUGUAUUAUGCUUUAAAUUUUGUUUGAAUUGUUAUUUUAAUUGUUAAAUGUUGAACAUUUUACUAUUGGGUCUUGUGUAUUAUGUUUUAUAAUACAUUUAUUAAAAAUUGGGUGACAUUGAUGGAUAAGUGCUUCUAUUACGUAAUCACGAAUCGAAGUUGGAUAAAUGUGAGUUGUAUCAGUGAUGUGUAUGAAAAUGGCGUUGAAGAAUUUCUACAAUUUGCUCAACAGAAUGUAGAAGUUAUAAGUGGAAGAUAUUAGUAUGAUGUCUUUUAAUACAAGGACUGAAGAUGAAAAAGUACUAUGCAGAAUAACAGUGUUACCCUUGAGGCGAAGUCUAUGCACUUUGCUAGUUCAAAAGAUAAUAAUCCUAUUGUGGCUACUUUAAGUUACUUUGGAGUAAUUGAAGAAAUUUGGGAGGUUGAAUACGUCAAAUUUAGAGUUCCUGUAUUUAAGUGUAAAAUGGGUUGAUUGUAACACAAGAGUGCAUGUGGAUGACUUGAGUUUUACUUUGGGUGAUCUUACAAAGAUAGGGUGGAAGAAAAAUCCUUUCAUCAUAACUUACCAAGCAAAACAAGGUUUUUAUGUGAAAGAUCCUUCUAGGUGGUCAGUUGUCGUACAGGGGAGAAUUGAACAUGAUGUUCAUCCACAGGAUGACUCAAGGGUCAAAUCUGUAUACAAGUUUUCAUUCUCUAAACAAAUACCUCCUUUGAAUGAUGAAAAUAAUGUUGAUGAAGUAUAUGCUACACGCCAUGAUCACAAUGAAGGAAUAUGGGAGAACAUUUUAAUACUUCCACAAUAGAAAUUAAGUUAUGUUUUUAUUAGCUUUUAUAUUUAAAAAUUAGUUUUAUUUAAUUUAAAUAUAUAUCUUAAACGUGUUUUUAUUUUUUGUAGGUUGAUCACAUGGCUGACUCAUCAAAGAAGACUAGGGAGCCUACACGACUAAGAAAUCUUGUUAUUAGACGUAUGGGUAAUAAGAAAGUUCCAGUUCAAACAGACCCUCAAACUCGUAGGGCAUCAGACCCUAAUCAUGCUCAAUUUGUAAGUUAUUUGGGAGUCCUAGCUCGAUCUAAGGUGUCUAUCUUGGUACUUGACUGGGACCAUGUAAGAAAAGUAUAGAAGAAUCUUAUUUGGAAGGAUAUUUGUGUAAGCUAUUUAUUUAAAGGUUAUUAAAUAAUUUGUGUAUUUAAAACGUUAUUUACAUUUUAAUGACUUAUUCAUUAUAAUUUUUAGACAAACUUUGAGUUUGAAACUUCCAAUUUGGUUCGGAGCAAGAUAUUGUCUUUAGUAGCUACAAAAUGGAAGCAAUUCAAGAUAAAUUUGAUAGGCUAUUACAUAUUUGGCAAAUACAAGGACAGAUCUCCUUGUGAGAAAUAUUGUAUAGAUGAAGAGGCAUGGUCUCAUUUUGUUCAGAGUCAAAUGGAUCCCUCAUGGUAGGUUUGUGAACAUUUCAUUAUAUAUGUUAUUAAAUCAUAUCAUGCAAUUCAUAAUUUAUGUGUAUGAUGUGCUUGCAGGAAAAGUGGAAGAAAGCUCAAAUCAUUUCACAAAAGAAUGUUACCUCCCACAGACUGUCUCGGGGAGGUUAUGAUUUGUUAGAGAAAAAGAUAAUGGAAGAAAAGUUAAAGAGGCAAACAAAAUCCGAUUCUGGUGAACUUAUUUAUCCUCCAUCACCUCCUAAUCGACAUGGAAAAUGGAAGUUGGCCAGAACUAAAGCGGGAGUCAGAUGAAAUCUGAGAAAUCAUUAGAGAUUUCCCAACGUAUUAUAAGUUCAUAAUUACAUGUCUUAUUUUUAGUAUUGCACACUUAUCAUUACAUAUUAUAUUAACAUAUUGUAUUAUUCUUUACAGAGAGUGUGAUCUCUUUGGUGGGUUGAUGUAUUUUUAUUUGUUGGGUUUCUAUAUCUUAAUCUGGUAUAUUAUUUUGGUUAUUGUAGUGUAGUGUAUGUAUGAUCCUUUAUUGGUAGGGUGCUAGGAAACUUGUUUUGGGUUUUUUGUAUAAGGGUUGGGACACCCCUGAAGUGUCUCAAUUUAUUUUAUUUAUUUUUUGCUGAUAAAAAAAAAGGAUUUGCUAGUGGAGCAAAGCUCACAGGGAAGUUUUGUUCCUAAAGGUCGAGAUGACAUCUUGACUGUUGCUAUUGGAACUAGGGAACACCUUGAUCGUGUACGUACUACUAGUUUUGGUGUUGGGGUGAGGCAAUACUUUGGAUCAGCUCCUCGACCCAACUUUUCUACUGCAAAUGUCAGUCAGGAGAUGAUGGAGCAAUUAGUUGCACAAUUGACAGAGAGACUGACACCACAACUAACUCAUAACAUAAAAGAACAAGUUGUCAAAGAGUUAAAAGCUGAAUUCGAGCAGCGAUAUAAUCCAGUUGAACCAGUAGAUGUAAUUCAUACUCGUGGUUGAGGUAGCACAAAAGGUAGUUGUGAUAUCGAUUCAUACUCGUGGUUGAGCUAGCAAUUAGUGGCCUUUUGAAGAGUGUAUCCAGGACGUUUAACCAUGCACAUUGUUCCCAUGCAGGGUGAUUUCUCUAGAGUGGUAGUUGAAAAAGCUAGAGAUGCAUCUGCUACAGUUUCAAUGUCAUAACAGAGGUUAAUACAGUGGGAUAGACACUUGGAAUAUUUAUUGCAUGGCCUACACAUUUGAUAAAGGCCAUUUCAAAAAAUUAUGAGGUAUAUUUUAUUAAAAGCUAUUAAUGUCAUUCAUUGGGAUGCCACAUUAUUUAGUACAUAACCAUGCAAGAUGUCUUUGAAAUCAUUCAGGUUAAUUAAUUAUUGAACAUCGUAGUUAUUCAACUAUGGAUGAUGUAAGUACCCUUAAUAAUUACAUGAUACUUAAUCAAACGAUGUUUCAUGAAUCAUGUCAUUGAUAUCUAUGUUAACAAUGUAUAUAAAUUAGAUAAUUAUCAACAUGAGUAAUGUUGAUAUUUUUUAUUUCCUUGAGCCGCAAUCCAUACAAAGGUAUGAUAAUAAAAAUAUUAAUUGUCAAACUUACAUUCAAAGAUGAAUUCAGACAUCCAGAAAGAGGAUUUAUAUGGCUCCUUUUAUAAAUGGGUUAGUAAAACUUGUUACAUUUAGAUUUUACAUAAUUAUAAAAAUGACUAAUGAAAUGUUCUAUACUAGGUCUCACCGGCAUUUGAUGCUUAUUUGCCCCAUGGAUAAUACACUUGUGUGGUUUUAUUCAUUACAUAGGAAGUCAAGUCCAGAUCUGGAGACUGCAGUACAAAUGUAUGUUUUUAUUAAUAUGUUAAUUAUAUAAUUUAUUGUCAAUUACUAAUAUUUUUCUCUUUUUAGUGCAAUUAAUGUAUGCAAUGUCUUUGGCGGUAGACCCACUUUAUCAUCACAAGAUCUAGUUAGAUUUUUCCUAGGGUAUAUAUUUAUCUCUUUAUUGAAACUAUUAAGUUUUACUUCUUUUAGUUGUUCAAUUAAAUUAAUUGUUACUUAUAUUUGAUAAUAGUGCAAUAAGCAACAAAAAAAGCUUUGAAUGUGGUUAUUAUGUAAUGCAUUGGAUGUGAACCAUAUCCUUGUGAAUAUUAUGGACUCUUGGAAGCGGGUAUUAUAAGAUUUUAAACACUUUAACAUCUCAUUUUAAAUUCAUAUUUAUUAUUAUGAACACUAAUAUCCAAUUACGUUUCUCAGCUUUUUGUAGAAAUCGAGUCACAAAGCAUACAAACUCUUAAACAAAUCUGUCAAAAAUGGUCCAAAUAUUUUCUAGAGAUUAGGAAUCAAAACAUAUCAUGAUUUGUAACUUUGUAUAUAUAUAUACACUUUCAUUAGUUUUAAUUAUACUAUUUUUUAUUAGUUUCAAUUGCAUGCUUUUAUAUUUCUCAAUAUAAAAAUUGAUCUUAUUGGUUUUUGGUUUGAUUUAAAAAUUAAGUUGAAAAAAUCACAUUUUAAUAAUUUUGAAAAUAACAAAUGUAAAAUGUAAAAUAUCAUAUUACAACUGAGCUAUAUUAAUAAUAGAAUCGAUAUAAUAUAUCUCCAAAAACUUGGGUAAUAUGCAUUAUUGCACUAGUGAAGGAAGUAUGAAGAAAAAUCAACGUCCAUCCUUGACCUGUGCUCAAGUCUUCCUCUCUUUUCAGUCCACAGACUAAUAAUCUUAGUCUAAAAAGAUGCAAAUAUCACACCCGAAACUAAGCCCAGAUCAUCACCUUUCCAUGGAUAUUCCUAAGCUCCACAUAAUUCAACACUCUCGCUGUAUUGCACUUCUUUUCCUUCUUCAGUUCUCAUCACUGCACUUCCCCUCCCUCGGCUACAACGUCCCUGAUAAGUACUUUAUCAAUUGUGGGUCAGACAACAGUGUUACCGAAAGUGGCAAGGUUUACGUUGCUGAAUCAAACCAUGAUGCCAGUUUUAACAGCAGUAACACCGAAAGGAAUCAGUCAUCGGUGCCUUCUCCUCUUUACCAAACAGCAAGAAUUUUUCGAAGGGUAUCUUGGUACAAGUUCAACAUCGAUUCCAAUGGCACCUACCUGCUACGCCUUCAUUUCUUCCCUUUCUCUUCCCCCAGUAAUCUUUCCUCGGCCAGGUUCAACGUUUCAGUCCCUGGUUUCUGGUUGUUGCAAAAUUUUGAUGGUACAAAUGAUACCAAUAACAACUCUGCUUUAGUUAAAGAGUUUUUCAUGGAAAUUAGUGCCCCCACCUUCAAAAUAACUUUCAGACCUCUGGAAUCAUCGUUUGCGUUUGUGAACGCCAUAGAACUGUUCGUACUACCCCUCCAUCUGAUAUCUGACAAGGUGUCGUUUUUUAAACCCAUUGGGGGUACAUCUAUUUAUAGCGGAGGUUUGUACUCUCGGGUGUUGGAGACCAAACAUAGGCUUAAUGUUGGUGGUCAACCUACCAAAGAUCUCUUAUUGAGAAACUGGAUUCCAGAUGAUAUUUAUCUAAUGUAUACAGAAAACGCCAAGAAUCGUUCCCCUUAUAAUGGUGAAAUCGGGUACCAUGUAGAUGAUGACUCCGAUGGUCCAAACNNNNNNNNNNNNNNNNNNNNNNNNNNNNNNNNNNNNNNNNNNNNNNNNNNNNNNNNNNNNNNNNNNNNNNNNNNNNNNNNNNNNNNNNNNNNNNNNNNNNNNNNNNNNNNNNNNNNNNNNNNNNNNNNNNNNNNNNNNNNNNNNNNNNNNNNNNNNNNNNNNNNNNNNNNNNNNNNNNNNNNNNNNNNNNNNNNNNNNNNNNNNNNNNNNNNNNNNNNNNNNNNNNNNNNNNNNNNNNNNNNNNNNNNNNNNNNNNNNNNNNNNNNNNNNNNNNNNNNNNNNNNNNNNNNNNNNNNNNNNNNNNNNNNNNNNNNNNNNNNNNNNNNNNNNNNNNNNNNNNNNNNNNNNNNNNNNNNNNNNNNNNNNNNNNNNNNNNAAGUGAUUGAAUCAUCAAAUGAUGUCCCCCGUGACAUGGACGAACCCGAUUCCAAUCAUCAUCCUUUUCCUGUGGUUCUGGGUUCAGUUCUCGGUGGUUUAGCCUUGGCUUUUGUUGUGGUGCUACUUGGCUUUCUUUUGCGUUUUAAAAUGAGGAAGGAAAAGCCCGUUGGGAAUUCGGACUGGUUGUCAGUCCUCGUUAAUGCUGGAGGAAGUUCUCACAGCAGAUUGACUGAUAUAUCCAGUCACGGCUCUGCCCUUCCCAACAUAAACCUAGGGCUCAAAAUUCCCUUGAUUGAUCUUCAACUUGCAACAAAGAAUUUCCACGAAAGUCAGCUGAUUGGCGAGGGUGGUUUUGGCAACGUCUACAAGGGAGUCCUCAAGAAUGGCAUGACAGUGGCUGUGAAAAGAAGCCAGCCAGGGUCAGGUCAAGGCCUUCCAGAAUUUCAGACAGAGAUUAUGGUUUUGUCCAAGAUUCGCCACAGGCACCUGGUUUCCUUAAUUGGGUAUUGUGAUGAGAGGUUGGAGAUGAUUCUGGUCUAUGAAUACAUGGAAAAAGGAACCCUAAGGGACCAUUUGUAUAACACAAAGUUUCCAACCUUGUCCUGGAAGGCGAGGCUUCAAAUUUGCAUUGAUUCUGCCAGGGGUCUUCAUUACCUUCACAAAGGAGCAGCUGGGGGAAUCAUUCACCGUGAUGUGAAGUCCACAAACAUAUUGCUUGAUGAGAACCAUGUCGCUAAAGUUGCUGAUUUUGGUCUUUCAAGGUCAGGUCCUCUUGGUACUGAAUCGUAUGUCACCACUGGU
RNAcentral lists this long non-coding RNA (8168 nucleotides) under Phaseolus vulgaris (common bean). RNAcentral's name for it is "long non-coding RNA (PVUL_LNC004217)". The record is from RNAcentral. Lineage: Eukaryota; Viridiplantae; Streptophyta; Magnoliopsida; Fabales; Fabaceae.